RNAcentral lists this ribosomal RNA (491 nucleotides) under uncultured bacterium. Its description in RNAcentral is "partial 16S ribosomal RNA". It matches the Rfam family "Bacterial small subunit ribosomal RNA", at positions 29 to 507 of the family's 1533-position model. The record is from RNAcentral.
AGUGAACGCUGGCGGUAGGCCUAACACAUGCAAGUCGAACGGCAGCACAGUAAGAGCUUGCUCUUACGGGUGGCGAGUGGCGGACGGGUGAGGAAUACAUCGGAAUCUACUUUUUCGUGGGGGAUAACGUAGGGAAACUUACGCUAAUACCGCAUACGACCUACGGGUGAAAGCAGGGGAUCUUCGGACCUUGCGCGAUUGAAUGAGCCGAUGUCGGAUUAGCUAGUUGGCGGGGUAAAGGCCCACCAAGGCGACGAUCCGUAGCUGGUCUGAGAGGAUGAUCAGCCACACUGGAACUGAGACACGGUCCAGACUCCUACGGGAGGCGGCAGUGGGGAAUAUUGGACAAUGGGCGCAAGCCUGAUCCAGCCAUACCGCGUGGGUGAAGAAGGCCUUCGGGUUGUAAAGCCCUUUGUUGGGAAAGAAAAGCAGCAGGUUAAUACCCCGCUGUUCUGACGGUACCCAAAGAAUAAGCACCGGCUAACUUCGUG